GCUGGGAGUUGUGGUUUCUCCCCUGGGGUCUGUGAGGAGAUCCACGUGCUGCCUAGUGAGCCUCCAGCCUAACGCCGAGCCUGUCCAGGUUUUGGUCCGCUGGCUUAGGGCAAGGUUCUGUUUUUGUUUCGUCCUUUCAUUUCAUAGCCUCCAAAAACGUUAAUUGGGCUAAGGUCGGAGCCCAGAGGAGAGACGUGGAGUUUGUGCGUGGCCUGCACGAGGACUGGAGUGGAUCCCCAGCCCCGUGGGGGCGACGGGAGAAGGGACAAAAGGAAGAGAGAAAGAAAGAAACCCAACGGGGUUCGUAGUAGGUGAUGUUUGUGAUUCAACACGAACCUAACUUGCUUGGUAACUCGUGUUCGUUUUAUUCCACGACCCAGAACCACCUUGUGAGACAGCUGGAUCUGAAUUCGUUUCCCUGUUUCACUCAUGAGGAAACUGAAGCUCAGAGUGUCCAAGGAAACCGGAUGUUGAGUAACCGGAAGCAAGGCCUAGCUGUGUUUGCACAACUGUCCGAACAGUGUAAGAGCUGCACCAACUAAACCAAAAACGUGGAAGGAAACAGCUCUAACUGGGUGUUAGAGCGGUCCAGUAAUGACUUCAAUUGUGCAAUGGUUUUGAAGUUACCUUUAUUUUAAAUUCAUUGUGUUUUCCCCAGCAGAACAAUAGAAUUCUUUACAAAUGGUGGCAAUUGGUGGCUUUGGCUGCCUACCAAAAGACAAACUUACAGAUGUUGUGCAAAGUGCCUGGUGAAGAGAAGUAAAAGGAGUGAGAGUAAAAAAUGGUGAAAAUAAGCUUAUUUAAGCCAUUAUUACUCCAGUCUGACAAUUGAUUUCAUCCUACUGAUAAGGUAAGUCUGUUUACUGUUUCAUAGGUGUUGUGGAAGACACAAGAUUUCUGGGUCAGAGACACAAGACCGUCUAUUACUCAAGACCCAAGAAGCAAGGAGCUUCAGCAUGUUUGUGUCAGUUCCUUUUGCCCUUCCCACCUCCUGAGUAACACAUGCUUGAAACAAAGGGCCCAAAUGAAUACUGUGCCCUUAGUGGAUUCACAACACAGCUAAGAAACACUGAACUUGAGGAAGCUGCCAUUCUAUAGGAAGCAGUAAGCCAACCUGUUCUUUGACCUAGAGGGAAAUAUUACUUUAUCCCUCAUGGUUGCUCAUACAAAUACAUCCCCGCAACCCUGAAAUAUAACCCCAGUGAAGAACAGUCAGGACCUUGCAUUUUUGGCAUACCUAGGAAGAUGAAGCAUGAAGAUUACAGUACUGGGCUGGGGUUGUGGCUCAGUGGUAGAGCACUUGACACGCUCGUGUGAGACACUGGGUUCAAUCCUCAGCACCACAUAAAAAUAAAUAAAAUACAGGUGUUGUGUCCAUCUACAGCUAAAAAUAUUUUUUAAAAAACAGUGGCUUAGGGAUGCAGAGAUAAGUAAGAUGAUAUCUACAAACUCCAUGAAAGGCACUAGUACGUGGUCAAACUAACAAAACACAUAUGCCUUGAUCUGGCAGUUCCACUUCCAGGAGUUCAUGCUAGUAUUACACUUUUACAGGUGUAAAAUGACUUUGUGUGUGUGUGUGUGUGUGUGUGUGAAGGGAAGUUGUUGCAGUACUGUUAGUUUCCAAUGGUUUGUGAAUUCAAUCUAACAGUUACUGGUUAAAUGAUACAUCCACAAUGGAAAACUGAAUCAUUGUAAAUAAAGAGUAAGGAAACUGUUUAUGCACUGACGUGGAAAGAUCUCAUGGAGACUGUAUAUGGUUAAGGUAGAACAAGGUGCAGCUCAGACUAGAGCACAUAAUACCAUCCUGUGUGAAAGAGGAAGCAUAUAUAUAUAUAUAUAUAUAUAUAUAUAUAUAUAUAUAUUUAGAAAUAUCACAAGAAACUGAUAACAUUAUGCUGCUGGGGAGGGAGACUAGACAGCUAGGGUGAAGACAAGGGUAGAAAGGAGACUUUUCACUUUAUUCCUGUUUUGGUUUGGAUCUGGAAUGUACCCCCAAAACUCAUGUAUUGAAGUCUUGAUUCCACUGCAUCAGUAUUUAGAGGUAGGGCUUUUAGGAAAUCACUGCUCACAUCCUGCGCUAGUGAUGGGAUCAGGGUCACUCCGCAAUGAAAAGACCACACAAACACAGAAGUACAUUUUGCAGGAGUCAGGGAUGGCUCUUCGACCUCGAGGGUCAAGCUCCCACGCUGGACAGCACUGGAAAAGGUCACGAGGAGCAAGAGAGAACACACCAGAAACCCUCUAUUUAUUAGGAAAAAGACACUCCUUAGAAUAUUCCACUCAAAUAAGGAAAGGGAUACAAUUACAGAAAAUGGGGGUGGGGGGGGAAUGCCCAAGCCCAAAGCUAAGGCACUUCCUUGCCCAACAAAGGUAAGACCCACUUGCUUCUCACAGCGUGCAAUGCCAGUUCAGUACCCCCACUACUCAAGGUUGAGGGGGUGUGCCUAGCUCGUCUGCAGGGCAGCCCUGGCAGGAAGUGGUUGGAUCAUGAAAGCUUUAACCUUACCAAUGGACUAAUCCAUUGAUGAAUUCAUAGCUGAAUGGACUUUUGGAUGGUGGUGGAAGCUGUAGGAGGCGGGGCCUAGUUGAAGGGCAUGGAUCCCUGGAGUACUGUAUCUUUUCUACAACCCCUUCUCUUUCUCUCCUCGCUGCCUCCCUGUGCUUUCUAGCUGCCAUGAGGUUAACAGCUUUGCUCUGUCACUCCCUUCCACCACAAUGCUCUGCCUCAUCCCAGGCUCAGAAACAGUGGAGUCUGCUGACAGUAACCUGAAACUGUGGGCCAAAAUAAAUCUUUCCUCCUUUAAAUUGUUUUUCUUAGGUAUUUUGUCACAGCAAUGAAAAGCUGAUUAACACAAUUCCUUUCUGUAACAGUUCUCUAACUUCUGCAUUUUUAGUCAUAUGACUAUGUUGCCCAUCCAGAAAAUAAGUAAAAUAUUAAGUAAGAAUCAGAUUGGCAGAAAGGGUGAUCAGAUCAUCAAAAAUAGAGAAUAAGACACCAUAAUUAUUUUUGAGAACUAACAAUCUAGCAGAAGAAGCAGCAAAAUACAAAAUGAUUACAAUACAGAGGCAUGCACAAGCUGCUAAAAGGGCACAUAAGCAGGGACUCUCAAGCAUCCAGAGGUUAAGGAGUUAAGGAAGAUGUUUCAUAAAAUGGGAGAGCUUAGCUGAGUGAUUAGAGAGGAGAAGAGAUAGCAAGAGAGAAGAAGGGUGGUGGAAGGGCAUUUUUGGAAAGGGGAACAGCAUGUUCAAGAGAUUUAAAAGAAUAAUAGUAAGGGAUAGGAAAAGCAGCAGAAUACAACAGACACUAGUAUGGCAGUAUGUAUAAAUGUGGCUGUAUAACCAAUGUGAUCCUGCAAUCUGUACACGUGGUAAAAAUAAUAAUUCAUACCUCAUUUGAAUCAAAUGUAUGAUAUAUGAUAUGUCAAGAUCAUUGUAAUGUUUUAAGCAACCAAUAAAAAAAAAAAAGAGUAAUAGUGCAGUGUAAGAACAUUCAGUCCAGUAGGAUAAGAGCAGAGGCAACAGAGCAGGAAGUACGCUAGGGAGGUAGGCAAGAGUUAGAUCUGAGAAGGCUUCAGACACUGAAUUCCAUGCCCAGGAGUUUGAAUUUCAUGCCUAAGAAUUCAGGGCCUCUGAGCCAGGCACAGUGACUCACGCCUGUAAUCCCAGCAGCUCGGGAGGCUGAGGCAGGAGGAUCAUGAGUUCAAACCAGCCUCAGCAAUUUAGCGAGGCACUAAGCAACUCAGUGAGACCUGUCUCUAAAUAAAAUACAAAAAAGGGCUCGGGGUGUGGCUCAGUGGUUGAGCACCCCUGAGUUCAAUCCCCUCAGAAUGUUUUUUCAGCAAAGCAGAAGUAUCAUCAGAUUUGUGCUUCAGAAAGUUCACUUCAGGAUAUGAGGAGAAUGAAUUGAGAUAGAUCAGUUAAGAAGCAAUUGCAAGGGCUGGGGAUAUAGCUCAGUGGUAGAGCACUUGCUUAGCAUGUGCAGGGCUCUGGGUCCAAUCCCCAAGGGUCACCAAAAAAAAAAGAAGAAGAAGAAGAAGCAAUUGCAAGCUAGGUAGAUUGCAAGCCUGUAAUCCCAUGGCUCAGGAGGCUGAGGCAGGAGGAUCACAAGUUCAAAGCCAGCCUCAGCAACUUAGUGAGGCCCUAAAGCAACUCAAUGAGACCCUGUCUCUAAAAAAAAAAAAGGCUGGAGGAUGUGGCUCAGUGGUUAAGCAACAAGGUUCGAUCCCCAGUACUGGGGGGGGGGGGAACCCUACAAUUGUAGUGAUUCAGGUGAAAAUUAAUAGGAUUCCAAUUAGGGCAGUGGAAAUACAAGGAAGGAGACACCUGGGAGAGAAGGGACUUGGUGACUAUUAGGAUCUCAGUUGCAAGUGUGGCGGGGAAGGAAGGGUGUAUGAUUGAUUCCCCAAGACAAUGUAUGAAAAAGAAGAGGUUGAGUGGAAGAAGAUAAUGAGUUUAGUUUCGGGCCUGGUGGAUUUAAAGGCUCUGUGGAGAUUCAAGAGGAAUCAUCCAGUAACUGUGGAUGCAUGAGUCUGAGCUAGGGAAAGGAGUAUGGGUCAUGCACAGAUUUGGGAGUCUUUGACUCUGGGUGGUGGCAGAUGAGAGUACCAAGAUAGGCAUUGUAGUAAGAUGAGAGGAUGGGGCUGGGGAUGUGGCUCAAGUGGUAGCGUGCUCGCCUGGCAUGCGUGUGGCUCGGGUUCGAUCCUCACCACCACAUACAAAUAAAGAUGUUGUGUCCGCUGAUAACUAAAAAUAAAAUAAAAUAAUUUAAAAAAAAAGAUGAGAGGAGUGUCAUGGCCAGGUUCCAGGGAAUCUCCACCAACCUCCUCCCCCUAAGAGGAAGGAGAUAGAGUGAAAGACUAAGAAAAACCAGAGAGCUGGGGGACCCAGAGAGAAUGAGGUCCUGGAUGUCAGCUUCGUUGACAUCCAGGACCUGGACCAUAUGCAGAGCACUUUCCAAGCAAGGGCUUGUUUCACCAUGCAUUAACAAACAGAAGUAUUCACAUGAAACUAGGCUCAGAUAACCAUCAGACCCAGUCACAUUGCUAGUUAACAGGGUAACUGAACCUUGAACUCAGAUGUUCUGACACCAAGGUCGGGGCACUCUUCACUAUCUAGCUUCCUUUUGGUUAAUUAUGAAAAGGUUCCACCUGCCCUUUGUGACCUGCAGAAUUAGCAGGUUUCUGUUCCCUUUUGUGUGGGAAUUCUUAGGUGAGAAUUCCACCUCUGAACUUUUGCUCACAUGAUCCUUGCAUCCUAGAUAUUCUAUCUUUUCUCUCUCUCUUCACUGGUGUGAAUUCUACUCAUUUUUCAAGCCCUACAGAAGUCCCUCCAUUAAGCCUUCCAUGAGGACUCCCGUUCACUCUGACAUCUCUCUUCUAAAUUCCUGAGGAAGAUACACCUUCAUGUGACCCCCUUUGAGCUCUUGUGUAAUUCCCUCCCCUUGAGGGUAAAUGGGACCUGUGACCUCUUCUAGGCAAUAAAAUAUGGCAAAGGUGAUGAUGUGACCCUCCCAUGAUUAUGUUACGGUAUUUAACAUUCCUCCCUAGCAGGCUAAGUGAGGAGGUUCUCCUGCAGGCCUUGAGAAAGUAGCUGCCCUCCUGAGAAGUGCCUUGGGGACACCACACUGUGGGGAACAGCAGAGACCUCCAGAAGCUGAGGGACAGCAAGAAAAUGGGGCCUUCAGUCCUGUACUCUGAGGAAAUUCUGCCAACAACCACAUGAACUUGGAAUAGGAUCUUGAGCUCCAAAAAGAAACAGCCCAGCCACCACUUUGAUUGCAGUGUGACCUGAGCAGAGGAUCCAACAGAGUCCAGAUUCCUGACACCGACUGAAACCACGAGACCAGGGAUGCAGCUUGGUUUUGUUUGUUUGGAGUUUUUAAAUUUUUAUUUAUUUUAUUCAUUUUAGUUGUUGAAGGACCUUUAUUUUUUAUUUAUAUGUGGUGCUGAGAAUCAAACCCAGUGCCUCACACAUUUGAGGCAAGUGCUCUACCACUGAGCCACAACCACAGCUCCUGCAUCUUGUUUUGUGUUACUGAAUAACAAUUGUUGCAGGUUGUUACACAGCAAUGGAUAAAUAAUAUACCUCCCAUUGCAUUUAUGGUCAGCACUAUUCAAGUUAGACCAGAAUAUAAUGCCUAGUUUUGCUUUACCUUUCCAAUCUGAACAUAAGCUUCUUGAAAACAAGGAACUGGUUACAUAUGAUUUGUCAUGCCCCCAUAGUAUAUGAGAAUGAGAGAUGUUUAUGGGAUGUUAGUCCAGGAGCUGGUGCUGUGACACACACCUGUAAUCCUAGCAGCUUGGGAAACUGAGGCAGGACAAUUGUGGGUUCAAAGCCAACCUCAUCAACUUAGGCCCUAAGAAAUUCAGUGAGACCGUGUCUCUAAAGAAAAUAUUUAAAAAGAGCUGGGAAUGUGGUUCAGUGAUUAAGUGUCCCUAGGUUCAAUUGCUGAUACCAAAAACAAAGAAUGUUAGUCCAGGAAAAGAUUCAAAAGUGGCUGACCCCUGCUGCAUAGGACCUUGGGGGGGACUCACACGACUAAUGUGGAGAACACGGAACAGCAUGCUUAGGACAUAAGUAUCAUUAACAACACUGUAAGUCAGGCAUGUGGUACACCUGUAAUCCCAGUGACUCAGGAGGAUGCGGCAAGAGGAUCCCAAGUUUGAAGCCAGCCUCAGCAACUCAGCGAGAUCCUGUCUGUCUGUAAUCCCAGCAUCAAUCCCAGCGACUCAGAGGCUGAAACUGGAGGAUUGUGAGUUCAAAGCCAGCCUCAGCAACUGCGAGGCACUAAGCAACUCAGUGAGACCCUGUCUCUAAAUAAAAUACAAAAAAUAGGGCUGGGGAUGUGGCUCAGUGGUCAAGAGCCCCUGAAUUAAAUCCCUAGUACCAAGUAAAUAAAAUAAAAAGGGCUGAGGAUGUACCUUAGUCACAGAGCACCCCUGGCACCCAACACUGAAAAAUAAUAAUAACACUAAUGUCACCUCUAACCUCAUUCCCUCUUUUUUUUUUCCCUAGUGAAGAAAUAGCUUCCCCGAUUGACCAACCAAAAAAGACCCAGCAAAGCAUAGCAGCUUGUCAAAGGUCACAGAGCAGAACAGUGGUCAGAAUUCAGCCCUGAGAAGACAGAUGACUUAAAAGAGGCAAGGAAGCAUUCCAUUACCUGUGGCGUCACCGGGCGAGGAGAACAAAGGACCCUGCCCUCAUUCCCUCCUCUUUCUUCACUACUUGUCUAUACUUGCUCCACGAAGACCACAUGAGAAAUUAUAUUUUUGGUAAAUGGAGUAACUGACUCUCACAGGAAAACCUAGAGACGAGAAGGUUUACUAGUCAAGAAUAGAUUAGUUGCAAACGAUAGAAAUCAACUAAAUCCUCAAUUCAAACUAACUUAAGCGAAAAAGAGUAUGUACAUGUUCACAGAGCUAAGGAGGACACAAACCACCCCAAAACCUAACGGCAAAACCAUCAUUUUAUGUUUACAGCCUCUGGGUCAGAAGUUCAGAUAGGACUCAGUGGGGAUGGUUGUCUCUGCUCUGUGAGCCUCUCUGAAGAACUCAGAGCCUCAGGGUGACCUGGCGACUGGAGUCUGAUUUCAUUUGGAAACACAUAUGGUGGCUGAGGCUGGCUGCUGGCUGGAACCUCUUCUCGGCCUGUGGUCUGCCCCCACCCAUGGCUUCUCCACAUGGCUACUCAGCUUCAAGCGCAUGGCGAGGACUCAAGGAAGAAACCAGUAGUGCAUGUGGCAUCUUUAUAACCUGACCUCAGAAGUCAUAUAGCAUAUGGUUUUGGCCCAAGUGGUCACAGAACGUGGCCUAGGUGCCAGGGCAGAGGACUUAACACCAUCCUCCAGUGGAAGGAGCAUUACAGCAUGUGAAAUGAGAUAUAUCAUGAGAUGAGAUGUAUAUUUUCCACUUUUGGGAAAUAGAAUCGUCCACACUGGGGUAAUUCAUAGCAAGUGCUGCAAGAACCAGGCCUUGGGGUUGGACACAGGGAGCUCAGGGAGACUUCUCUCUUUUCAUCUGCCUCUCAGUUUUACUCAUCUCUGUUUCUCUUAUAGGAAAAAGAGCCACCACCCCCCUUAUUUUUCUCAGCAUAUGUAUAGUUUCCCAGAGAAGGACUUUGAAUGGCCCUUACUUGAUCAAUUAAGGCCCUCCACUUGGAUCAAUUAACGGUACCUGAACAGCUCUGAUUAUCCACACCUGGAUCACAUGCUCAGGUCACAUACCUACGAAGAAAGCUUAUUGGGCAGACUGUAAAGAACAGCUAGUGCAAUGAAGUGCACACCUGUAAUCCCAGCAGCUCAGGAAGCUGAGGCAGGAGGAUCACAAGUUCAAGACCAGUCGAGACAUUUACUGAGGUUCUAAGCAACUUAGCAAAACCCUGACUCAAACUAAAAAGGGCUGAGAAUGUAACUCAGUGGUAAGCACCCCUAGGUUCAAUCCACGGUUACAAAAAAAAAAAAAAAUAGAAUAUAAUAGAAACGAGCUAGAACAGUCUACCACAGGUUUAACUUCAGUAAGCCUCUCUGUCAGCUUGGGGUGCGACCAUAAUUAGGCUAGUUCUCUACCACCCUUCUGUUAGCUGUACUGUUUCCGAGUCUUACCUGAUGAUCAUAUCAUGCACUAUCUUCUACGUGGCCACACACCAUGACUCUGAGAUUUUUGGAUUUCCCUUCAGAGGGUAAAGUUCCUGGACCUGACAGCCACCCUGGCCUGCUUUUCUCUACCAUUCCCUCUCGCCACACCUGACUACCAUGUUUCAAAGAGUCGACAUUCCUAAGUAGUCACUUUUCACCAUCCUUGUAGGCAGUUGUCACUCUGCUAGCUUCCCAGUAACUCCCCAUUUGCCCCCCUCACAAUCAAACUCAACUUUUCAAGGGCCCUUUAUUCCCUGGAAAUUACCUUCCAGAGCCAACAGUUGAGAAAUAACGCAAUACAUCAAGAGAUCGCAUGACCAAAAAAAACAGGGUUUCUGAGUUGUCAGCAUCAUCCAGUGGAAAAGGAUAUGAAAUGUUGUGUCAUCCACAUUGGCUCCUAUCUAGCUUUAAUCCUUAACAUGUCAUUAGGAUGCUUUGGAUUGCAAAUACAGAAAAUUUAAAAAUGGGUUUUUUUUAAGAUCUUAUUCAUUUAUUUAUCUAUUUUUUUUGGGGGGGGGGUUGUUUUUGUCUUUUUUGGAACGGGGGUAGAGCCCAGGGCUUUGUGAAUCAAGGCAGAUGCUUUUGCUACUGAGCUACAUCCCAGCCCUCAAAAAUGAUUUUAAAAGGAAAUGUAUGGUCUCAAGUAAGUAGCAGGACUAAAGGUGGUAAAUUCCAGAUCAGUUAACUCAACAGUUCAUCCAUGUAAAGGAUUCAUUCCUCCCAUCUCCCAUGUCUGCCACCUUCACUGUAUCAUCAGGACCGUUUCACUAAUGCCUCUCAUGGUGGCAAAAUGGCUGCUGAGUUCCAGGCAUCACCAACACACAUGGCUACAAUAUUGAGAAGCAGGAAAAAGGAAGUUUCUUAUUGAAGCUUGCCACAGUCUGGCUGGGCACAAAUCACGAGCCACUGAAGCAGGAACAAACUUUAUUUCUGAACUCCACCAGCACACUCCACACACACUCCCUGGGAACUCUCCCGAAUACCACGAGGCUCCUCCAGGAACCACCAACCAGAAAUCCCUCCUCCGGCAUUUCCCCAAUCAAUUCAAACUCUUCAGGAAUCCCCGUGAGAGCUCAACCGGAACUCAACGGGAACUCCGCGAGAACUUAAAAGUCAUCAUCUUAAUGGCUUGCUGGCGUCACCUCUCAACCUCUACUUCUGGCAAAAAUGCCAUGCGUCAUCCGGACUCGGCUGUGGCCCUCAACAGAAGCUCCUUUUUUUUUAAGUUGUUGAUGGACCUUUAUUUUAUUUAUUUUUAUGUGGUGCUGAGGAUCCAACCCAGCGCUUGGCACACGCUAGGCCAGCUCUCUACCAUUGUGCCACAACCCCAGCCCUCCUUUUUGUUGUUGUUUUU
This 9986-nucleotide long non-coding RNA is filed under the name Marmota monax (woodchuck). Lineage: Eukaryota; Metazoa; Chordata; Mammalia; Rodentia; Sciuridae. The record is from RNAcentral.